GACCCAGAAGUAAUGCAGUCGUGAACCAGGAAGCAUAAAAGGAGUAAACAAACCACAACACAUCGCUCAGUCAUUGAGUUCGCCCAUGCCACUUCGGAUUUAUUCGCCGAUUCCUAAUAGAAAGAAGGUUGAAGCCCAUCUAACUGGCGGGGGCCCUUCACCACCUCCCCUCACCCGAUCUGAGGAGCUGGCUCUGUCCCUUAAUAGAGGGCAACCAGUGAAACUAACAUGGUGAAAUGUACUGAUAAAGGGAUUGUAUUAUUGGACCCUACAGAAAGAACACAGUCUGUCACAGUUGAUAAAGAUGAAGAGACCACAUCUGCUGUGACAGAAGUGGACAAUGCUGGUAGAUCCACUGAGGUAUGAUGCAUACUAUUAUAAUGCAUGCCCCCUUUUUACAUUAGAGUAACAAACUGUCAUUGU
Molecule: long non-coding RNA, 423 nt
Organism: Clarias gariepinus (North African catfish)
Lineage: Eukaryota; Metazoa; Chordata; Actinopteri; Siluriformes; Clariidae
Exons: 4
Source: RefSeq, a predicted model, not a curated record